Salvelinus sp. IW2-2015 is the source of this 199-nucleotide non-coding RNA. The record is from RefSeq and is a predicted model, not a curated record. NCBI's taxonomy places the organism in Eukaryota, Metazoa, Chordata, Actinopteri, Salmoniformes, Salmonidae.
CUGUUAGAGGAGGUAACUCUGAUGGACAGACUGGGUGAGGAAGAUGAGUGUCUGUUAGAGGAGGUACCUCUGAUGGACAGACUGGGUGAGGAAGAUGAGUGUCUGUUAGAGGAGGUACCUCUGAUGGACAGACUGGGUGAGGAAGAUGAGUGUCUGUUAGAGGAGGUACCUCUGAUGGACAGACUGGGUGAGGAAGAUG